GACCUGCGGAGGAUCAUUAAAAAAUAUCGCUCGAUUGAGAGUGAUUUAAUAAUCAUCCUACCCUUUGUGAAUUUGUUGUUUGUAAUAAUUUUUUUUGAUUUUAAAAAAAAAUUAUUUAUGGUUUUGUCUAUCCCUAAAAUUGGUUUGUUGUGAAAUGAAUCAAAUUUAGGGAAUAGGCUUUCAUAAAUAAGUUUUUUUUAAAGUCUUAAAGACCUUUUUUAAAAUUAAACUUUUGUAUUCAUUUGUCUAAAUUUUUUUUAAAUAAUUUAAAAACAACUUUUGACAAUGGAUCUCUUGGUUCUCGCAACGAUGAAGAACGCAGCAAAAUGCGAUAAGUAAUGUGAAUUGCAGAAUACGUGAAUCAUCAAAUCUUCGAACGCAUAUUGCACUUUUUUAGUUUACUAAAGAAGUAUGUCUGUUUGAGUAUCAGUAAAAUAUUCUCAUAAAAACAUCUUUUGUUUUUAUGGUUAUGAGUGUUUUACAACGAUAAACAAGUUGUUUCACUUUAAAUUCAUUUUAAUUAAGACCAAUAUGGUUUUAAUAAUUAAAAUUGGAUAAAAUUUUCCCGUAAAAAGGAAUAAACUUUUCAGUUUUAGUUAGAGAAAUCUCGGUCCGAUUUUAAAAGGAAAUUUAUAAUUUAAAUAACUUGAUCUCAAAUCAGAUAAGAGUACCCGCUGAACUUAAGCAUAUCAAUAAGCGGAGGA
This 704-nucleotide ribosomal RNA is filed under the name uncultured Neocallimastigales. RNAcentral describes it as "eukaryotic LSU rRNA". The stretch from base 275 to 429 matches the Rfam family "5.8S ribosomal RNA". Lineage: Eukaryota; Fungi; Neocallimastigomycota; Neocallimastigomycetes; Neocallimastigales. The record is from RNAcentral.